RNAcentral lists this ribosomal RNA (374 nucleotides) under uncultured organism. RNAcentral describes it as "partial 16S ribosomal RNA". It matches the Rfam family "Bacterial small subunit ribosomal RNA", at positions 527 to 896 of the family's 1533-position model. The record is from RNAcentral.
GGAGGGUGCAAACGUUGCUCGGAAUUAUUGGGCGUAAAGCGCAUGUAGGCGGGUUCGUCAAGUCGGAUGUGAAAGCCCCCGGGGCUCAACCUGGGAAGUGCAUUCGAAACUGGCGGACUUGAGUACGGGAGAGGGUCGCGGAAUUCCCGGUGUAGAGGUGAAAUUCGUAGAUAUCGGGAGGAACACCAGAGGCGAAGGCGGCGACCUGGACCGAUACUGACGCUGAGAUGCGAAAGCGUGGGGAGCAAACAGGAUUAGAUACCCUGGUAGUCCACGCCGUAAACGAUGAGUGCUAGAUGUCGCGGGUAUUGACCCCUGCGGUGUCACAGCUAACGCGCUAAGCACUCCGCCUGGGGAGUACGGCCGCAAGGCUA